This 655-nucleotide ribosomal RNA is filed under the name uncultured bacterium. RNAcentral's name for it is "bacterial SSU rRNA". It matches the Rfam family "Bacterial small subunit ribosomal RNA", at positions 185 to 858 of the family's 1533-position model. The record is from RNAcentral.
UUCGCAUGGAGCAGUGUGAAAAGCGUAAACGGUAUACGAUGGACCCGCGUCUGAUUAGCUAGUUGGCGGGGUAGAGGCCCACCAAGGCGACGAUCAGUAGCCGGCCUGAGAGGGUGACCGGCCACAUUGGGACUGAGACACGGCCCAAACUCCUACGGGAGGCAGCAGUGGGGAAUAUUGCACAAUGGGGGGAACCCUGAUGCGGCGACGCCGCGUGAGUGAAGAAGUAUUUCGGUAUGUAAAGCUCUAUCAGCAGGGAAGAAAAUGACGGUACCUGACUAAGAAGCCCCGGCUAACUACGUGCCAGCAGCCGCGGUAAUACGUAGGGGGCAAGCGUUAUCCGGAUUUACUGGGUGUAAAGGGAGCGUAGACGGUUAUGCAAGUCUGAAGUGAAAGCCCAAGGCUCAACCAUGGGACUGCUUUGGAAACUGUAAAACUGGAGUGCAGGAGAGGUAAGCGGAAUUCCUAGUGUAGCGGUGAAAUGCGUAGAUAUUAGGAGGAACACCAGUGGCGAAGGCGGCUUACUGGACUGUAACUGACGUUGAGGCUCGAAGGCGUGGGGAGCAAACAGGAUUAGAUACCCUGGUAGUCCACGCGGUAAACGAUGAUCACUAGGUGUCGGUGGGUAGAGACCCAUCGGUGCCGCCGCAAACGC